AGUGAACGCUGGCGGUAGGCCUAACACAUGCAAGUCGAACGGCAGCACAGUAAGAGCUUGCUCUUACGGGUGGCGAGUGGCGGACGGGUGAGGAAUACAUCGGAAUCUACUCUUUCGUGGGGGAUAACGUAGGGAAACUUACGCUAAUACCGCAUACGACCUACGGGUGAAAGCAGGGGAUCUUCGCACCUUGCGCGAUUGAAUGAGCCGAUGUCGGAUUGGCUAGUUGGCGGGGUAAAGGCCCACCAAGGCGACGAUCCGUAGCUGGUCUGAGAGGAUGAUCAGCCACACUGGAACUGAGACACGGUCCAGACUCCUACGGGAGGCAGCAGUGGGGAAUAUUGGACAAUGGGCGCAAGCCUGAUCCAGCCAUACCGCGUGGGUGAAGAAGGCCUUCGGGUUGUAAAGCCCUUUUGUUGGGAAAGAAAAGCAGCAGGUUAAUACCCCGCUGUUCUGACGGUACCCAAAGAAUAAGCACCGGCUAACUUCGUG
This 492-nucleotide ribosomal RNA is filed under the name uncultured bacterium. RNAcentral describes it as "partial 16S ribosomal RNA". It matches the Rfam family "Bacterial small subunit ribosomal RNA", at positions 29 to 507 of the family's 1533-position model. The record is from RNAcentral.